UAUAUGAAUAAAGAUCAAAUUCUUAUCUGGAUAGCAGCAAAAUAGGAGAUCAAAUCUCUAAAAAUCUGAAAUUAACCUUCGCGGAGGUCUGGAUGUGCAAACCCUCUACUUCGUAUGUACGUCAGACAACACAAGAAAGCAGAAUGAACUUCGAUCAAAUCACCUUUACAAUCCAACCAAAUAAGGAAGGAGAGGUGCUGAUAUAAUGCCUCACACCAGCAAGAAGAAUGCCCAAGGUGGGCCCAUGGCA
Molecule: long non-coding RNA, 250 nt
Filed under: Elaeis guineensis (African oil palm)
Lineage: Eukaryota; Viridiplantae; Streptophyta; Magnoliopsida; Arecales; Arecaceae
Description: long non-coding RNA (EGUI_LNC014711)
Source: RNAcentral